CCGCACGCUGAGAAAAGGUAACCGCUCUAGCGUUAACGACAGCAGGGCGCGAGAGCGUUGGUCCUCCGCUUCUCUUCAGCUGUAGAAACUUCGGUCGCUUGUGACAGCCCCAAACGCGUGCAGCCCCAAAUGCCGUGCACCGAACACCAGGUUUUGUCCUGGCGGUCAAGGCUCAGUAUGUUUUCAUUCCUCUCUUUCCUCAGCGGCCUUACUGCGCUUACCAAGCUCAAGCUGUUUGUCGCUGCCCUCGAUGGCAUCGCCGCCUUCUGCCGUUCCUCAGAAGCCCAAGGUGAUGCAUUCUUCCCUUAACAUUUCUAGAAAUGCACAGGACCUAUAUCUAGACAUAUCCUGAAGACAGUUCAUGAGGUUUUUGUAGUCCAUGUCACAAAUAAAAAGGCUAUGGAUGAUUCUGGUCUCUCCCUU
Molecule: long non-coding RNA, 423 nt
Filed under: Struthio camelus australis
Lineage: Eukaryota; Metazoa; Chordata; Aves; Struthioniformes; Struthionidae
Description: lncRNA (ENSSCUG00000017543.1)
Source: RNAcentral